CCAUCUAUUUCAGGUUGUUUCGGUCAACGUUGGAGCUCACCAAAGUUCUAACGAAAUGAUAGUUGUGGAUUCUGACCCAAACCCAAUUCGAAUUAGUUGAGUUUGACCAAUUUUGGAUCGAUUCUGGUAAGGUUUUGUCAGAAAUCAUCACAUCAGAGAAAAGGACAUAUCGAGGUUGAUUCGGGGUUCAUCGAGACUGAUUCGAGGUUCUUCAGCAUGCGGAUUCAUCUUCUCAAUUGAUUGUGGGUUGGAAUAAAAUCAUUGAUGAAGGUCCGAUUCUUCAUCUCUUAUCUCUAUUCUUGUGAAUGUUUUUGGAUGGUGAUGAUAAUUAUGUGAUUUUGUUUGAAGCAAUUCUAAUUGUCAUUAUCUAAUUUUUAAUCACUAUUAAGGUCAUGUCAAUCACUGUAGGUGAAAAAUCUGAUUUGAUUUGGGGUGUAGUUUGAUUUGGGGGCGGAAGUUCAAAGUUGAUAAGGUAAGUAUCGUUGUUUCGAUUCAUUGAUAUCAAACUUCAUAGUAUCAUGAUAGGUCGAGUGGGUAGGCACCCGUAUGUUCGGGUAGACAAAAUUUAGGAUGAAAGUGUUCUGUUGAAAUGUGUUGGUCUAUGUUUUUGGAUUAAAAUGUAUUCAUUCGGCCGGGGAAUGCCUUGAAGAUUGAUGUAUUUAUUCAUUGGAGAAUGCCCCGACUUAUCAUGUUGGCGUAGGUAGAUUGUGAUCAAGGCCCGAGGCAUCGGGUAAAGCCUCGGAGCGUAGUUAGGAUUAGUGUAGGUUAGAUAGGAUUUAUUUUUGCAUUUUUCUAUUUUGGACUAUAUAAAUUGGACUGGACACUAUACUUUUGAUUCGUUUUGUUUUGUUUAUUUGGUUGAUUGUUUUUUGUAUGUUUUGUGUACUUUAUACAUUCUUAGUGUCAAGUUAGCCGAUAAGCUCUACUAGCAACCGUGGUCAAACCAUGGGAUCGAGGGGUGCCUAACACCUUCCCCUCGGUCAACAGAAUUUCUUAACCAGAAUCUCUGUUCACGGAUCAGUUUAAAAGAGUCAAAAACAGUUUUGGAAAAGGGUUUUCAAAGGUGACUUUGCACACCCAAUUAUGCCAAGUGGCGACUCUGAGUCUAAAUGUAAAUAAUCCUUUUCGAAACAAAAAUUUUAUUUUUUUGUCACUUUAAUAAAAACCCUUUCAAACUUAAAAGAUCAAUUUUUUUGGUUGUAAAAGGGGUGUGACAGCUCUGGCAACUCUGCUAGGAAUUUUUCAGAAUUUGAGCUUAUUUUGGAGUUGUAUCAGCUUAGUUUGGCACUAUAGGUGUAUAGACAUUUUUUUUGUGUUGUUUUGUGUUCUUGUUUAUCAUUGUUGAGUGCCUACGUGCUCUUUGUUUACAGUUUUUAUCUUAUGUGUUACCGCUUUAUAUUGGCAUCAUGUGCAUAACCCAAAUCAAUUCUUUCUGCAACAAGUUCUGUAGUACAUGCUGUGUACACGGCCUAUAGUUGAGUCACCCUUAUUUUUAGGAGGGGGAGCCGUCGGGUGGUAUGGAGUGGGUGGAAAGCAGUGCAGCCACUAUCGACCAUUCGCUCCCAUGAACAGCCUUGUUAGUGAACCCCAAUGUAGGUCAGCCUUUAGGUCAUGCUUAUUUGCAUCAUUUUGAGAUCUAGCGGGACCCACAUGGCCCUUUGUAGAAGACUCACCUCUAAAGCAUCCCUACGUGCUAAAUGUUGCAUCUUUCAGGGUAACGAGGUCCUUUGACAGACUGAUUUGGGCUAAAGCAUGAGUUAGAAGCAAAGUGUGUUGGCAAGAAAUUGUUGAAAAAAAAAAAAAGAAGAAAAAGAGUGAGAAAAAAAAGAUUUGGUAGUUUUUAAGGUUUUUUAUGGCUUUUGUUUUUCACAAUUCAUAAAAAUAAUAUUUUUUUUACCUUUUGCAUUCAUUUUCCAAAAAAUCAAAGACGUUAAAAAGAUUUUUCUUUUAUUUCUUUAGUAAGUAUUCACAAUUCAAAAACUCCAAAAAAUAUUUUUUCCUUUCAAUAGGAGCUUUGUACAUUUUUAUAUAACGAAAAUAUCAAAAAGAUUUUUUCUUUCAUAGUUGUUGGUGUUAACUUCUAAUUAAAAACCCAAUAAAGAUUUUAUUCAUCUGUCUUUAUUCGUGUCUCUCAAUUCAGGGUUUAGUUUGUCACUUAAUCCUUUAUUGUCCAAUCUGGACGAACUGUGCACCCCUGAUUCUCCUCUUUCGGGAUGUGAGAUACAUAGGCAGCCUAUUGUUGGUUCGGGAAUCUUAUUUCAAAAGUCAAAAAAUAUUUUAUUCACUCUUUAUUUAUAUUAGGUGUUCCAUAUACAUCUUUAAAAUAAAAAAAAUAUAUUUUCUUUAAUAGUUUUAAAUUUCUUUGUCAUAUGAAAUUCAAAAUCGAAAACCCAAAAAGAUUUUUUCUUUGGUAAUAAUAGAUUUCAUUUUAUAUAGAAAUAUGAAAAAUUCUAAAUAUUUUCUUCACUCUUCAUUUAGAGUAGAUUUCAUAUACAUCUUUAAAAGAAAACCAAAAAAGAUCUUCCUUUAAUAGGUUCGAGUUUCAUUUUCGCAUGAAAUUCAAAACUGAAAACCCCAAAAAGAUUUCCCCUGGUAAUCAUAGAUUUCAUUUUGUAUAGGCAUGUUAAAGAUGAAAAAUUCAAAAACAUUUUCGUCAAUUCUUUUGACAAAUUGUUAUUUUCUGUUCUUCUUAAAGUGUCAAGAAAAAGGAAAAAAAGAGGACAAAGAUUUCAAUUGACCAUUUUGGCACGACUUCACGAACUACGCACACCUGAUUCUCCUCCUCGGGAGUGAGAUACGUAGGCGCCCUUUUUGGGUUUGGUGAACUUUUUUAAAAAAAAAAGAGGUUUUGAGGAAGUGUUGAACUCUAACACAUUUGCUAUCUUUUGUUCUUGUACAGUUAGUUUAAGGUGGUUGGUUUGUGGCAUUUUGGGCUGGUCCUCCAUAUUGCACCAAGUCAUAAAGAGCAUUAUGGCCAACAAGGAUACCAAGUUUGUUUUCACUAACCAGAUAGGGAGUUUGGAAAAUGAGAAUUUAGAAUCUAAUGAAGAGAUUCGGAAAUUAAGGUAGCAAAUGAUAGAAAUGCAUCGAGCUUAGGCUAAUGGGUUGCCGCCUCCCCCAGUUCCCACUGAUAACCUGGAAUAUAUUUCUGGCUUGCCUCCCGUGUCACAUGCACAAUUUCCCAUUUUUGUUGAUAUGCCACAACAUGCAUCAGGAUCGACUGCGGGGCAACAAUAUCCAACCACUUCCAAUGUUCAUUUCGUCACUCCCCAAUCCAAGACUACUACAUACGUGGAUCCAGCUGUUGUUUAUUCUUUUGCGGUGCCACCCCCACCUGAAGAUCCUACUUUUGAUGUUCAUCCACAAGUUGUGCCUCCUUACUCUACAUGAGAGUCUGCAUUGAAUAUUACUGGUGAUCAGUGUUAUACUUCCAAGCCUAUAUUCAAGUUGACUGGUCUUUACGGCGACAUUCACCCGCCUGAAUUUCCUCCUAACACUGAGAAACCUGUUAUGACAGAAGAACUAGAGGAAAUAACCAGAAAAUUGAGAAGUUUGGAACUGACUAUGAAGAACUUGCAAGGACUUAGGGGGUUACAAAAGUGUCUCAUAUAAGGACUUAUCCAUGUUUCCAGGUGUCAACCUUCCUCCUGGCUUUAAAAUGCCAAAGUUUGACAAAUAUGACGGACAUGGGGACCAGUGGCACAUUUAAGGUGCUAUUGUAACCAAUUAAGAGGAGCUGGAGGGAAGGAAGAACUACUCAUGGUUUAUUUCGGGGAGAGUCUUUCAGGCCUAGCUUCGGAAUGGUUUGUUGACCAAGACAUCAACAAGUGGAUUAGUUUGUAUGACCUAGCUAAUGAAUUUGUGCUACAAUUUCAAUAUAAUGUGGAGUUGAUCCGUGAUAAAAAAGCCCUAACUAGUAUGAAGAAGAAGAAUACUGAGAGCUCCAGGGAGUAUGCAAUCAGAUGGCGUGAACAAGCUGCUAGAGUGAAAUCGCAAAUGAAAGCAAGCAAAAUAGCGGAGGUGUUUAUUCAAGCGCAGGAUGAAACAUAGUAUCAACACUUGUUACCUCCAUUGGCAAGUCAUUUAUUGAGGUCCUCAAAAUGGGGGAGAUAAUAGAAGAGGGAAUUAAGACUGGUCGCAUUGUGAGUUAUGCAAUAAUGAAAAUGACUACUCAAGCAAUUCAAAAGGGUUCAGGAAGUGUUGGGAAGAAAAAGAAUGAGGAAGAUGCAUCUGCUAUUGUAGUUGGACAGUAGGAAAGGUCAAGAAGACCCCGUCGUUGUCACUCUCAGGCAAAACCCCAAGUUCAUGCCCAAGCUCCACAUAAUCACUCCCAAAAUUCAUUACACUCUGCUCCUCCACCUCUAUAUCCAGUAUAUAACACACAGCCUCAUAUUUAACCCCCAUCUUACCCAUAAUGGAACACACCAACUCCUCAGAAUCAUCCUCUAACUCCACAAACAUACCAAAACCCUUCUAAGCCUGAUUUUCAAUCCAAGUCAAAUGACGAAAUAAGGAAAAAGUUAAGAGAUAGCUUCACACCAAUUGGAGAGUCGUAUGCCAGUUUAUUUUAUAGAUUGGCAUAAUGGGGAAUGAUCACUCCUCUCCUUGGGUGCACUCUUAAUCAGUGUUCAAGAAAUUUUAACCCUAAUGUACGAUGUACGUAUCAUUCUGAUGCUCAGGGUCAUAGUAUUGAAUAUUGUUGAGAUUUAAAAAGGGAAAUUGGAAAGAUGAUUCAGGAUAGAUCAAUCAUGGUGAAGAACAUUGAUAGUGAGAAAAGAUCUAGUCAUGUUGAUAUGCAAACUAGUGGGUAAGUUGUCAAGCUGAGCAAUUGAGAAGUCACCCCUCUCCCUUAGGAAGAGGUCUCGUAAUUUUUUUUGUUUUCAUUUCUAUUUUCUGAAGUAUUUCAGGGUUGUAGUUCGGAAUCUAUCUUGUUUUGUCCCUUUGUCGUUUAUGUUGAAACCCUUUUAUCUUUUAUUUCAACUAAAUGAAGUGUCCCUUUCCUUUUAUGUUUCAUAUAUCUGUUGUUUGUUUGUUUUCUUUAUACAGUACAUUUUAUGUUGACUCUAGUGACAUGACAUACUAGUGAAAUUUACAUCCAGAUCUUAAAUUCCAGUUUAAGCAUGAACAUUGAAUCAGAAGGUUAAAGUUAGAAAAAGAGAGCAUCUGAGAAAAUAGGUAGAGUGCUGAGAUAUUUGGUGACAAGUUCAAGCAUUCUUUGAAAAUUUAGGCAAUUAUUUUGAGAAUCACAAGAAUAACUUGGUCAUCAAUUGAAAGAAAUGUCUCAAUUAGGUCAAACAGUGUCUGCGUGAUCCUAUCAAGAGGAACAAAAAGAAAAUCAAUUCCACGAAAGCAUGAGUCAUUCAAAGUGAGCGAUGUACAACAAAUGUGGAGUGGUAUGUUUGAAAAGUAUAUAAAAAGAGGUGAAACACUUGCUCGGGGCAAGUUAGUGUUGUUAAACAUGUCAUAAGUGAUGUUGAUUGUACACUUUCACAUUACAUGCUAUGUACUAGUAUUUUCAAAGAUUGAUAUAACGAAGACAUUUUAUUCUGCUAUUCAAGCAUUGUGUCAUCCUUUGUUUACCCCAUUUGAGCUCUAGUCCUAUUUUCUUUCAUACCCCUCUUUUGGAAUCAAGAUAGAGUCAGCAAAACUCAAAAGAAUAGUGUUGAGAAAAACAAUAGAGUCAGAAAGUUUCAAAAAGAAAUGAGAGAAAAAAUGUGUCCAAAAGAAGGAAAACAAAAGAGCGUCAAGAAAAAAAUAGAGUCAGAAGGUCCUUAAAAGAAAAAAAAGUCAAUAAAAGAGUCAACAAAGUAAAAAAAAAAAGAAAAUAAAAAAGAAGUCAGAAUCAAGCAAAAGAACAAGCCGCCAGAACUAUGUGUGACCUGAUUCUCCUCUUGCGGGGCUGAGAUACGUAGGCUGCCCUACACUGGGCUCGGUCCAACCAAAUAAAUAGUUUAGAAUUUCCCAGUCAAAAGGAUUGGGCAUGAGUUAAUCCUAAUUGUUUGAGUUGAUUCUAAAAGUUGUAAGUCCUACCCCACUUCAAGUGUCGUUUGGGCCCCAUGUCAUCCAUUCUUUCUAACCCUAUCCAAAAGCCAAGUUACAACCAAAGAAAGACCUUCAGAUCAAUCUUUGAGGAUGUUAAGGCUGAGCAUGCAAGGGAUAUAAUGAUGCAUUUGGGAACUAAUUGUCUUCUUCAGCAUAAGAAAUCAGGAGAGAAAUAAAAAUGAGAGAGUCUUAUUGGUGAAAACCCUCACGAGCACCGUAAGGCGAUGGUAAGUUGAGAGAGAUAAAAAUGAGAGAGUCUUAUUGGUGAAAACUCUCACGGGCACCGUAAGACGACUGUGAGUUAAGGAAACAAAGAUAAUAGAGUCUCAUUAGUGAAAAAUCCUUACAGAUACCAUAAGGCGAUGGUUAGCUGAGGAAAAGAAAAUAAGAGAAGCUUGUUGGCGCAAACCCUUCUAGGCGCCACUAGCUGAAUGAGGUCGUAAAUGCAAUUGACCUAAGGAAGUAACUCAGUUUCAAGGCCAUUAACUCAAAAACAAUUGGUAGAAAAUUUGGAUGAAAAGAUCAACCUGCUUAAUCCAAAAUGCAUGGCAUAAUCAUUCAUGUUGACUGUCAUUUUUCGAUGAAUUUUUCGUUUCUUUGUUACAAAAGGGGAUAUUCAUUGUCUUUUAUUUCUUCUUUUUUUCUUAUUUUAUCUUUCUUAAGUCAGUUAUCCAAACAAAAUUUGUCAUUCUUUUUUUCAUUUCUUGUCUUUGAGUCAAGUCCGUGUCAAAACAAGUGAGAAAAGAUUUCAAAACUGCUUCUUUAAUUGCACAAAGAAAGACAAAAGCUAGCACAUGAAAGAGAAAUAAUUGUGAGCCAAAAAAGGGCAUGCAGAAAGUUUUGUCAACGGAGAAGUCGAGCAACUCAUAGAAAUACCAAGGUUCAAAGGGUCUGAGAAGCAUGGCAAAGCAGAGAUACUAUGUUUGUUUUAGUCACUCUUAAUAAUUUGAGAUUGGAACAAUGAUUCAUCAGGUCAAUGAUAUAUGCUAAUGGUUGGAAGUAAGGUUAAAUGUGACGAGGGCAAGAGCGAUCGCCGCGAAAGGUAAAGCCAUAAACCAGCCACCAUGUUUUAAACUCACAAGUUUUCUUUGAUGAAACAGGAAACAUAUUACCUUCAAAGCAGGGAAUUCAGAGCAUAAACAUCAAGGGUUGCAAUGCCUCACUUUUAAAAAUGCAGAAAGCAAUAUUGCUGCACAGGUUUGAUAAUAAAAUCCUGGUAAAAAUUUAUCAUCCUAUAUCCCUCAGAGACACUUUCUUGUCCAGGGAUUUCAGUGUUCAUUUGCUAGGUGAUACACUUCUUAAAUUGAACCUUCACUCCAAGAAGACGUACUUUUUAGUCGAGUCAUUCUCUUUGAUUCCUAUAAGACGUACCUUUUAGUCGAGUCAUCUCCUUUGAUUCCUAUAAGACGUACCUUUUAGUUGAGUCAUUCCCUUUGAUUUCUAUAAGACGUACCUUUUAGUUGAGUCAACCCCCUUGAUUCCUAUAAGACGUACCUUUUAGUCGAUUCAUUCCCCUUGAAACCUAGAAGACGUACCUUUUAGUUGAGUCAUCCCCCUUGAUUCCUAUAAGACGUACCUUUUAGUCAAUUCAUCACCCUUGAUUACUAGAAGACGUACCUUUUAGUCGAGUCAUCCCCCUUUAUUCCUAUAAGACGUACCUUUUAGUUGAUUCAUCUCCCUUUGAUUUCUAUAAGACGUACCUUUUAGUUAAGUCAUUCCCCUUGACCCCUAGAAGACGUACCUUUCAGUCGAGUCAUCCCCCUUGAUUCCUAUAAGGCAUACCUUUUAGUCGAGUCAUUCCCUUUGAUUUCUAUGAGGCAUACCUUUUAGUCGAGUCAUCUCACCUUUGAUUCCUAGAAGACGUACCUUUUAGUCGAGUCAUCCCCUUUGAUUCCUAUAAGACGUACCUUUUAGUCGAGUUAUUUCCCUUUGACCCCUAGAAGACGUACCUUUUAGUGGUGUCAUCCCCUUUUAUUCCUAUAAGACGUACCUUUUAGUCGAGUCAUUUUCCUUUGAACCCUAGAAGACAUACCUUUUAGUCGAGUCAUCCCCUUUGAUUCCUAUAAGACGUACCUUUUAGUAGAGUCAUUUCCCUUGACCCCUAGAAGACGUACCUUUUAGUCGAGUCAUCCCCCUUGAUUCCUAUAAAAUAUACCUUUUAGUCGAGUCAUCUCCCUCUGAUUCCUAUAAGACUUACCUUUUAGUCGAGUCAUUCCCUUUGACCCUAGAAGACAUACCUUUUAGUCGAGUCAUUCCCUUUGAAUCCUAUAAGACGUACCUUUUAGUCGAGUCAUCCCCUUUAAUUCCUAUAAGACGUACCUUUUAGUCGAGUAAUCCCUUUUGAUUUCUAUAAGACGUAUCUUUUAGUCGAGUCAUACCCUUUGAUUCCUAUAAGUUGAGUCAUCCCCUUUGAUUUCUAUAAGACGUACCUUUUAUUCGAGUGAUUCCCUUGACCCCUAGAAGACGUACCUUUUAUUCGAGUCAUUUCCUUUGAUUCCUAUAAGACGUACCUUUUAGUCGAGUCAUUCCCCUUGAGCCCUAUAAGACGUACUUUGUAGUCGAGUCAUCCCCCUUGAUUCCUAGAAGUUGUACCUUUUAGAUGAGUCAUUCCCAUUGAUUCCUAUGAGACUUACCUUUUAGUCGAGUCAUUAUCCUAUAAUGAUGUGACUUUCGCAAAAGUCCUUUGAUGAUAAACUAGGGUAAAAUUUAACUCUUGUUUUUGGAACUUUACUUUUCUGGCAAACGAAAUUUCUCUGUCUAAUAAUUUUGUUUGGAAUAAUUUUCUUUCCAGACUUGAUGUGAUUUCAGGAGCUUGCCCGAAGCACAGGGCGAAUAAAUGGAAAACCAAGCAAUAAGGUGAAGAAAUUAAAAGUUAAACAGUUUGAAAAAUAACAAGUUAGGAGCCCGCCUGUAAAACAGGGUGAAUAAAUUGAAAGCAUAGCAAAGAGUGAUGAAAUAGCAGGUCAGGAACCCGCCUGUAGAACAGGGUGAAGAAAUUGAAAGCGAAGCAACAAAUUGCAGAAAUUGCAAGUCAGGAGCCCGCCUGAAGAAUAGGGUGAUGAAACUCAAGUCAAGAGUCCAGAGAAACUGCGUAGAUAGGAUAUCUGUAAUUUCAUUUAUGUUUCUAAAUUGUAAUUUUUAUUUUGAUGUAAUAACAGAGCCGCAGAUCAGAACCUCGAUGGAACCUCACUCGACUCUCCAACUCAAUAUAGUCCUUUUCCUUCCAAUACUUUAAGAUACCUGUCACUUCAUUCCCUUAUAACUUGAGUAGGUGGCAGUGUCCUAAGUCAAGAUGUGGUUGUCCUUCUUCCUUUUACUUCCUCUUUUGAAUAAUGACCGGGACUAAAUUCUGUCUCGUUGUCUACUUCUUUUUAUGAAAACACUCUAUGUUUACAUUCAAAGGGGGAAUGAUGUAGACACAUAGUUUUGUCCCAUCAAAAAAAUUAUUUUUAUUAUCUUAUCCUGUUUUACCACGCACCCCAACCCGUGUGUAAUCCCUCCACAAAAUGACAAAAAUAACAACCCCCUAGCUAAUAUUAUCUUAUCCUAACAACCUACCCAAUCAAAAUAAACCACAUCACCCCUACCCUUACCUCACUACCCCACCUACCUUACCCCACUACCAUACAAUUCUCAUUCUCACCAGAAAAUCAUCAGCACACCUCACAACAUAGAUACACACAUAGUAUACACGCCCAAGGGGAAGAAGAAAAAAGCACACAUACACAUAAAGAGCUGCGAGGGAGAGAAAUCUAUGAGAGGGAGAGAGAGACGAACGAUGGGUUGACUGGAAAUGGGAGAAAUAUAUAGAGAACAUAAUUAUACAGGGGGAUUCGAUUAGGUUUUUCUUCUCUUUGACAGCCAUCGUUUCUCCAGGAGGAAACUUCAUUUUCUUAUCUAUACAUAGACGCACACAUCGAACACACCUAGAUCGAGAGAGAGAGUGAGGAAUCGAGUGAGAAAGAGGGCAAAAAAUAAGAGAGAGGAGGAUCGGAAACAACAUCCCCUCACGGGAACAACUUCAUUUUCCAUCUAUUUAGCUUGUUUUGGUCAAUGUUGGAGCUCAUCGGAGUUCUAACGAAAUGAUAGUUGUGGAUUUAGACCCAAACCCAAUUCAAAUUAGUCGAAUUUGACCAAUUUUGGGUCGAUUCCGGUAAGGUUUUGCUGGAAAUCAUCACAUCAGAGAAAAGGACAUAUCAAGGUUGAUUCAGGGUUCGUCGGGUUGAUUCAGGGUUCGUCGGGUUGAUUCAGGGUUCUUUGGCAUGUGGAUUCGUCUUCUCGAUUGAUUGUGGGUUGGAAUAAAAUCAUUGAUGAAGGUCCAAUUCUAUAUCUCUUAUCUCUGUUCUUGUGAAUGUUUUUGGAUGGUGAUGAUAUUUAUGUGGUUUUGUUUGAAGCAAUUCUAAUUUUCAUUAUCUAAUUUUUAAUCACUGUUAAGGUCAUGUCAAUCACUGUAGGUGAAAAAUAUUUGAUUUGGGGGCAGAAGAUAAAAGUUGAUAAGGUGAGUAUCGUUGUUUUGAUUCAUUGAUAUCGAACUUGAUAUUAUCAUGAUAGGUCGAGUGGGUAGGCAACCUUAGGUUCGGCUAGGCGAAAUUUAGGAUGAAAAUGUUUUGUUGAAAUGUGUUGGUCUAUGUUUUCAGAUUGAAAUGUAUUCAUUCGGUCAGGGAAUGCCCUUGAUGUAUUUAUUCACCGGGAAAUGUCCCGACGUAUCAUGUUGGCAUAGGUGGAUCGUGAUCAAUGCUCGAGGCAUCGAGUAAAGCACCGGAGCGUUGUUAGGAUUAGUGUAGGUUAGAUAGGAUUUAUUUUUGCAUUUUUCUAUUUUGGACGGUAUAAAUUGGACUGGACACUGUACUUUUGAUUCGUUUUGUUUUGUUUGUUUGAUUGAUUGUUUUUUGUGUGUUUUAUGUGGUUUAUAAAUUCUUAGUGUCAAGUUAGCCGAUAUGCUCCACCAAGCGACCGUGGUCAAACCACGGGAUCGAGGGGUGCCUAACACCUUUCUCUCGGUCAACAGAAUUCCUUAACCGGAAUCUCUGUUCGUGGAUCAGUUUAAAAUAGUCAAAAACAGUUUUGAAAAUGGAUUUUGAAAGGUGACUUGGCACAUCCAAUUAUUUCAAGUGGCGACUCCGAGUCUAAAUGUAAAUAAUCCUUUUCGAAUUUUUUUUUCAUUUUUUUGUCACUUUAAUAAAAACCCUUUCAAACUUAAAAAAUUAAUUCGUUUGGUUGUAAAAGGGGUGUGACAAAGACUGAAAUUAUUGGACCACAGGGAUACCAGGGCGGCGCCCUGCUUAGGUACUGGGAGAACCCAGGGCGGCGCCCUGCUUAGGCUAGGAGAACCCAGGGCGGCGCCUCCCGUAGACUGGUGGAGAGAGGCUCAUUGGUUCGAAAUUCAAACACGUCCUAAACGAGGUACAAAAAUUCUGAAACUCAUCCGAGAUGUACUAUUGACUUGUCCCAUCGCAACGCAACUUGAAAAUCGAAAAACGGAUGUCGGGAAGGUCAUGAAAUAAUUCCUCGAAGUUGAAGGCUCAAAAAUAAACUAAGUGUUGAAACACUUAGCAAAAUUUCUAAGGAUAAGGCUUCUUUUAAUUCGCUCGGAAGCCUUAAACGACGAGUGAACUUCACGGGGUCUUACAAGGUAAUGUUACAAAAGUGUGCAAUCUUAAAAACAAUUCUCAAGCAAAAUUUGUGGAAGCAGAAAUUGAGGAGGAACAACUUUUUUAAAUCACAGUAAACAAGUCUUAGAACUUAUUUUCCGGGCUAGUAGAUAUCAUAUGAUAUAUAUGUACCUUUUUUUCUUCGUGUUGUCUAACCGGUCCACUACAAAUGUAGGAUAAGAUCAAACCAUCUCAAACAAGUUCUGAGCAUUUAGCUACUCGGUCAUUAAUCUGACACAUGAUAGAACCAAAAGAAAACAUUGUAAUAAUGCAGGGAUUGGGGAGUAGUGAUUAGACAAGGAUAUUAUGCAUGCAACUUAAUGAUGACAUGAUCCUAAUCGGAGCGUAAUAGUGUUAAGAGUUAGGAUAUAAGAUUAGUAGGUAGUAAGCAUUUUAUUUGUUAUCAUAAGUUUUUACCUAUUAUAUAUACACUCCAUCUGUUUCAUAUUAAUUGACUUUUAUAAAUAUUUUAAUUUACUUGUUAAAUUUAGAAAAUCAAGAGAAUUUUAUUCUAUUUUUGCUUUCUUGUUCAUAGUAUAAAUAACUACAUAAGAUAGUAGUAGUAAAAGUUUCCCUUUGCAGUAUUAUUAUAAUUACUCUUUCCUAUCUUAUCUUAUUAGUUGAUUUUAAUAUUAUAUGUUUUUUGUUUUGCUUCAGUUAUCGUAUUAUUUGUUUUUGCUACUGUUCUCUUCUCCAUUAUUUUUAAGCUUCGUCUUCUUCACUAGUUACUGUAUUUUCUUGCCAACCUUAAAUUUUUUAUGCUUCACUUAAUCCAAGGAUCUAUCGGAAACAAACUAUUUACUUUUACAAGGUAGGGAUAAGGCUGCAUAUACAUCACCUUCACUAGACCCCGUUAUGGGACUACAUUGAGUAUGUUAUUGUUGUUGUAUGGUUGAAUUACAGGAAAAGAUUGUGGCUGCAGCACCAGAUUUCUAACAUCAAGAAUCAUGCCUAUUUGGAUUUUACUUUUCUCUCCCUGAUGUCAAUUGGACUUUUUGUUUUAGAGAGAAUAAAUAUGCACUUUAACAAAGAGUGAUAAAAAUUUUACGGCAUUAUAUAAUUCUCAUUAAAUCCAAAGUCUAUAGUCUUUAAGGGCAUUUAAAAAAAGUGCUAAAAUGUAAUUGUCACCAACAAAUGCCU
Molecule: long non-coding RNA, 12833 nt
Filed under: Capsicum annuum
Lineage: Eukaryota; Viridiplantae; Streptophyta; Magnoliopsida; Solanales; Solanaceae
Description: long non-coding RNA (CANN_LNC020529)
Source: RNAcentral